RNAcentral lists this ribosomal RNA (253 nucleotides) under uncultured bacterium. RNAcentral's name for it is "partial 16S ribosomal RNA". It matches the Rfam family "Bacterial small subunit ribosomal RNA", at positions 524 to 776 of the family's 1533-position model. The record is from RNAcentral.
UACGUAGGGUGCGAGCGUUAAUCGGAAUUACUGGGCGUAAAGCGUGGGCAGGCGGCUUUGCAAGACAGAUGUGAAAUCCCCGGGCUCAACCUGGGAACUGCAUUUGUGACUGCAAGGCUAGAGUACGGCAGAGGGGGAUGGAAUUCCGCGUGUAGCAGUGAAAUGCGUAGAUAUGCGGAGGAACACCAAUGGCGAAGGCAAUCCCCUGGGCCUGUACUGACGCUCAUGCACGAAAGCGUGGGGAGCAAACAGG